GGAGACGUCGCAUAGCCCGGUCGAGUGCGCCUCACUGCUAAUGAGGUAAGGGGAUUAAACCCCUUCGGAGGUUCAAAUCCUCUCGUCUCCG
This 91-nucleotide transfer RNA is filed under the name Actinomycetota bacterium. Its description in RNAcentral is "Actinobacteria bacterium tRNA-Ser". It matches the Rfam family "tRNA". Rfam says of the family: Transfer RNA (tRNA) molecules are approximately 80 nucleotides in length. Their secondary structure includes four short double-helical elements and three loops (D, anti-codon, and T loops). Further hydrogen bonds mediate the characteristic L-shaped molecular structure. tRNAs have two regions of fundamental functional importance: the anti-codon, which is responsible for specific mRNA codon recognition, and the 3' end, to which the tRNAs corresponding amino acid is attached (by aminoacyl-tRNA synthetases). tRNAs cope with the degeneracy of the genetic code in two manners: having more than one tRNA (with a specific anti-codon) for a particular amino acid; and 'wobble' base-pairing, i.e. permitting non-standard base-pairing at the 3rd anti-codon position. The record is from RNAcentral. Lineage: Bacteria; Bacillati; Actinomycetota.